ACUCAAAGGAAUAGACGGGGGCCCGCACAAGCGGUGGAGCAUGUGGUUUAAUUCGAUGCAACGCGAAGAACCUUACCUGGAUUUGACAUCCUCGGACAACCCUAGAGAUAGGGCUUCCCCUUCGGGGGCCGGGAGACAGGUGCUGCAUGGCUGUCGUCAGCUCGUAUCGUGAGAUGUCGGGUUAAGUCCCUUAACGAGCGCAACCCUUGUUUCUAGUUGCCAUCAUUUAGUUGGGCACUCUAGAGAAACCGCCGGUGUUAAACCGGAGGAAGGUGGGGAUGACGUCAAGUCCUCAUGGCCUUUAUAUCCAGGGCCACACACGUGCUACAAUGGCCAGUACAAAGGGUCGCUAACCCGCGAGGGGGAGCUAAUCCCAGAAAGCUGGUCUCAGUUCGGAUUGAAGUCUGCAACUCGACUUCAUGAAGCUGGAAUCGCUAGUAAUCGCGGAUCAGAACGCCGCGGUGAAUACGUUCCCGGGCCUUGCACACACCGCCCGU
RNAcentral lists this ribosomal RNA (497 nucleotides) under uncultured bacterium. RNAcentral's name for it is "partial 16S ribosomal RNA". It matches the Rfam family "Bacterial small subunit ribosomal RNA", at positions 899 to 1397 of the family's 1533-position model. The record is from RNAcentral.